RNAcentral lists this transfer RNA (67 nucleotides) under Megacopta centronubila. RNAcentral's name for it is "tRNA-Gly". Lineage: Eukaryota; Metazoa; Arthropoda; Insecta; Hemiptera; Plataspidae. The record is from RNAcentral.
ACUCUUUUAGUAUAAAAAUUAUAAUUGACUUCCAAUCAAUUGAUCUAUAAUAUUAAUAGAGAGAGUA